UUUUUAAUCUGGUUGAUCCUGCCAGUAGUCAUACAUUUGUCUAAAAGAUUAAGCCAUGCAUGUCUAAGUACUUCGAUAGUCCUUCGUUAGAUUGCAGACGGCUCAUUAUAUCAGUUUUUAUAUGCUUGACAUUUUCUUAUAUGUGGAUAUCUGUGGAAAUUCUAGAGCUAAUACAUGCCACAAAUAAUAUUUAUAUUUUGAUAUAUUGAGCAUUUGUUUGUUUCAAACCAGAGUGAAUUAAUAUGAUGGAUGAGUCAUAAUAAUGCUUUAUCACAACGCGUUAUACGCGACAAAUCAUUCGAAUUUCUGACCUAUCAGUUAAUGAGUAGUAUAUAGGACUAUUUAGGCAUAAACAGGUAACGGAGAAUUAGGGUUCCAGUCCGGAGAAGGAGCCUGCGAGACAGCUACUACAUCUAAGGAAGGCAGCAGGCGCGUAAAUUACCCAUUUCUGAUCACGAGAGGUAGUGACAAGAAUUCACAACAUUUUGCCUUAGAAGUAAAUAAUUGUAUUGAGAACAAAGUACAUAUUUUAUCAAUAAACAAUUAGAGGGCAAGUCUGGUGCCAGCAGCCGCGGUAAUUCCAGCUCUAAUGGUGUAUGCUAACAUUGUUGCAGUUAAAAAGCUCGUAGUCGGAUAUUUUAGGGAGUCAAUAUUAUGUGAUCUUAAUGAACUACCAAAAAAUUGAUCAUGCCUAUUUUUCACAAUUUUGGAGUUGGACUUUAUUUUCCGAUCACGGAAUUAGUGUAUUUUUACUUUGAAGAAAAUUGUGUGUUUUAAGCAACCUUAUGGAUGUAUGCCAAAGCAUGGAAUGGUAGAUAAUGACAUUAGUUAAAUGGCUGAUGGUUUGAGAGAUUGAUGUAAUGAUUUAUAGAGUUUGUCGGAGAUAUUAGUAUUUUGUCGUUAGAGGUGAAAUUCUGGGAUCGACAAAAGAUUACCAAGUGCGGAAGCGUUUGCCUAGAAUUUCCUCUUUGAUCAAGAACUCAAGUUGAGGGAUCGAAGACGAUCAGAUACCGUCGUAGUCUCAACUGUAAACUAUAUUAGCUAGGUGUUGGCAAAUGCUUAAAUGUCUUUGUCAGAUCCUUGGGAGAAAUUAUAGCAUUUGGGUUCCGGGGGGAGUAUGGUCGCAAGGUUGAAACUUAAAGGAAUUGACGGAAGGGCACCACAAGAUGUGGAUCCUGUGGCUUAAUUUGACUCAACACUGGAAAAUUUACCAGGUCCGGACAUAGCUAAGAUUGGUAGAUUAAUAAUUCUUCCUUGAUUUUAUGGGUGGUGGUGCAUGGUCGUUCUUAGUUGGUGGAGUGAUUUGUCUGGUUAAUUCCGUUAACGAACGAGACUAUUACUUACUAAAUAGUAAAAUCAUUCAUGUAGGAUUAUAGCUUCUUAGAGGGACUGGCUUUUCAUAAAUCGCUGGAAGUUGGUAGCAAUAACAGGUCUGUGAUGCCCUUAGAUGUCCUGGGCGGCGCACGGGCUACAAUAGGAGAGUAAUUGAGCUUGUUCUACUUAGCACGGAGAGCGCUAUGAAAUCUUUAAACCAUUCUUUAUUUGUGAUCGCGCUUUGAAAUUUUAAUAUGUAAACUAGGAAUACCUAGUAAGUGUUUGUCAUCAAUGUGCACUGAAUACGUCCCUGCCCUUUGUACACACCGCCCGUCGCUCCUACCGAUUGGAUGUGUUGAUGAGUAAAUAGGAGAAAUGACGUUUUUCAUAGAUAGAACAAAGUAUAAUUCUUAACAUUCGCAAAUUAGAUUAUCUAGAGGAAGGAGAAGUCGUAACAAGGUUUCCGUAGGUGAACCUGCGGAAGGAUCAUUAUUGAC
RNAcentral lists this ribosomal RNA (1811 nucleotides) under Erythrobacter sp. RNAcentral's name for it is "SSU rRNA". It matches the Rfam family "Eukaryotic small subunit ribosomal RNA". The record is from RNAcentral. Lineage: Bacteria; Pseudomonadati; Pseudomonadota; Alphaproteobacteria; Sphingomonadales; Erythrobacteraceae.